This 329-nucleotide unclassified non-coding RNA is filed under the name sea anemone metagenome. Its description in RNAcentral is "partial contains small subunit ribosomal RNA and internal transcribed spacer 1". The stretch from base 1 to 177 matches the Rfam family "Eukaryotic small subunit ribosomal RNA", at positions 1654 to 1831 of the family's 1831-position model. The record is from RNAcentral.
UCCACUCUGUACACACCGCCCGUCGCUACUACCGAUUGAGUGAUCCGGUGAAUAAUUCGGACUGACGCAGUGCUCAGCUUCUGGACGUUGUGUUGGAAAGUUUCAUGAACCUUAUCACUUAGAGGAAGGAGAAGUCGUAACAAGGUUUCCGUAGGUGAACCUGCAGAAGGAUCAAUGAUCCUUCUGCAGGUUCACUACGGAAACCUUGUUACGACUUUUACUUCCUCUAAAUGAUCAAGUUUGAACAACUUUUCGGCAGUCCGCUGCUCCGUUGCCGGGGCGGCGGCGCCAAUCAGGAGUCCUCACUAAACCAUUCAAUCGGUAGUAGC